GGCAGUGGGGUGUAGUGGACAGUGCACUGACCUGGGAUUCAGAAGGCCUAGGUUCUAGUCCCAGCUCUGCCA
Molecule: transfer RNA, 72 nt
Filed under: Chelonia mydas (Green sea turtle)
Lineage: Eukaryota; Metazoa; Chordata; Testudines; Cheloniidae
Rfam family: tRNA
About the family: Transfer RNA (tRNA) molecules are approximately 80 nucleotides in length. Their secondary structure includes four short double-helical elements and three loops (D, anti-codon, and T loops).
Source: Rfam by way of RNAcentral